CCCUUAGAUGUUCUGGGCCGCACGCGCGCGACACUGUUCGACGCAGCGAGUCUUAACCUUGACCGAAAGGUUUGGGUAAUCUUCAGCAAAGUCGAACGUGAUGGGGAUCGAUCAUUGCAAUUAUUGAUCGUGAACGAGGAAUUCCUAGUAAGUGCAAGUCAUCAGCUUGCGCUGAUUACGUCCCUGCCCUUUGUACACACCGCCCGUCGCUACUACCGAUUGAAUGGUUUAGUGAGAUCUCUGGAUUGACGCUGGCUAGGGGGCGACCCUUGGCCAGACUGUUGAGAAACUGCUCAAACUUGAUCAUUUAGAGGAAGUAAAAGUCGUAACA
This 331-nucleotide ribosomal RNA is filed under the name uncultured eukaryote. RNAcentral's name for it is "partial 18S ribosomal RNA". It matches the Rfam family "Eukaryotic small subunit ribosomal RNA", at positions 1470 to 1796 of the family's 1831-position model. The record is from RNAcentral.